Pelobates cultripes (western spadefoot toad) is the source of this 239-nucleotide non-coding RNA. The record is from the annotation of a GenBank genome assembly. Lineage: Eukaryota; Metazoa; Chordata; Amphibia; Anura; Pelobatidae.
GGGGGGGCCAGAGGGGGCCAUGGCCCCCCCUACAUCAUGCUGUGCCCCCCCUUGGGCCCCCCCAAAUGCCAGCAACUUGCUGGCCAUGGGAUUCCCUCGGACUGUAACAACCUGUUACAGCCCGAGGGAGGGAAUGCAGUGCUGAGCUGCUGGGGGCUGUCUGUGGCCGGAGGGAGCACUGAUUGGCUCCCCGGCACAGGCCCCGCCCCCAAACGAAGCUCCGCCUCCCGCCGAUAAGC